This is a long non-coding RNA of Notolabrus celidotus (New Zealand spotty), 344 nucleotides long. RefSeq lists it as uncharacterized. The record is from RefSeq and is a predicted model, not a curated record. The transcript has 3 exons. Lineage: Eukaryota; Metazoa; Chordata; Actinopteri; Labriformes; Labridae.
CAUAAAAUGACUUUCGGAAACUUUCUGUCACAGUCAAGGAUCUGUUGCAGUAGAUGCUGAGCUGAUAUUCAAUAAAGUAGAAACACUGCCAGAUGCCAGCUCUGCAGCUAGCACUUUGAAGACUGCUGCUUCCAGCUCUAAUUUUACCCUCACUGUUAACACAUCAUCUAUUACUACAACUGUUGUGUUGGCACCAACUGAAGCCCCAGCCAAAGUAGUCCCUACAACACUAAUGAGCACAGCUCCCUCACCAGGUAUCCUAAGUCCUUUUAAUACAUUUCUAGCAGUAUCUCUGUGUUGUUUGCAAGCAGUAAAGUUGCUAGUUUACUGCUAACUCUCCUGGG